CAAGCAAGCUGGACAGCCGCGCGGGCGGGGCGAAAGGCCCGUCUGUGAGGAAAGUCCGGGCUCCACAGGGCAAGGAUAACGGGUAACACCCGCCGGGGGCGACCCCAGGAAAAGUGCAACAGAGAUAUACCGCUGGGCGCCGCUUGCGGCUGCCCAGUAAGGGUGGAAAGGCGAGGUAAGAGCUCACCCAAUGGCGUGUGAAAGCGUCCAUUGCUGUAAACUCUAUCCGGAGCAACGCCGUGGAGGGACACAAGGUCGGCCCGACCGUCCCACGGAGGCGGCUGGAGCGUAUCGGCAACGGUGCGUCGAGAUAGAUGGCUGUCUUAAAUGACAGAACCCGGCUUACAGGCUUACUUGCACC
RNAcentral lists this RNase P RNA (361 nucleotides) under Oscillospiraceae bacterium. RNAcentral describes it as "RNase P RNA component class A". It matches the Rfam family "Bacterial RNase P class A". Rfam says of the family: Ribonuclease P (RNase P) is a ubiquitous endoribonuclease, found in archaea, bacteria and eukarya as well as chloroplasts and mitochondria. Its best characterised activity is the generation of mature 5'-ends of tRNAs by cleaving the 5'-leader elements of precursor-tRNAs. The record is from RNAcentral. Lineage: Bacteria; Bacillati; Bacillota; Clostridia; Eubacteriales; Oscillospiraceae.